GAUGAACGCUGGCGGCGUGCUUAACACAUGCAAGUCGAACGGAAAGGCCCAAGCUUGCUUGGGUGCUCGAGUGGCGAACGGGUGAGUAACACGUGGGUGAUCUGCCCGGCACUUUGGGAUAAGCCUGGGAAACUGGGGCUAAUACCGGAUAGGACCAUCUGUUAGUGGCGGUGGGGGAAAGAUUUUCGGUGUGGGAUGGGCUCGCGGGCUAUCAGCUUGUUGGUGGGGUAAUGGCCUACCAGGGCGUCGACGGGUAGGCGGCCUGGGAGGGUGUACGGCGACAUUGGUCCUGCGAUACGGCGCAGACUCCUACGGGAGGCAGUAGUGGGGAAUCUUGCACAACGGGCGCAAGCCUGAUGCAGAGACGCUGCGUGGGGGAUGACGGGCUUUGGGUUGAAAACGCGUUUCGCCAAGGACGAAGCGUUUUGUGACGGUACUUGGAGAAGAAGCAACGGCUAACUACGUG
RNAcentral lists this ribosomal RNA (466 nucleotides) under uncultured bacterium. Its description in RNAcentral is "partial 16S ribosomal RNA". It matches the Rfam family "Bacterial small subunit ribosomal RNA", at positions 28 to 507 of the family's 1533-position model. The record is from RNAcentral.